Molecule: ribosomal RNA, 577 nt
Filed under: Aggregatibacter sp. MELO_70
Lineage: Bacteria; Pseudomonadati; Pseudomonadota; Gammaproteobacteria; Pasteurellales; Pasteurellaceae
Description: bacterial SSU rRNA
Rfam family: Bacterial small subunit ribosomal RNA
Source: RNAcentral
GCUGGCGGCAGGCUUAACACAUGCAAGUCGAACGGUAGCAGGUAAGUACUUGUACUUAUGCUGACGAGUGGCGGACGGGUGAGUAAUGCUUGGGGAUCUGGCUUAUGGAGGGGGAUAACGACGGGAAACUGUCGCUAAUACCGCGUAGAAUCGAGAGAUGAAAGUGUGGGACCUUCGGGCCACAUGCCAUAGGAUGAACCCAAGUGGGAUUAGGUAGUUGGUAGGGUAAUGGCCUACCAAGCCGACGAUCCCUAGCUGGUCUGAGAGGAUGACCAGCCACACCGGGACUGAGACACGGCCCGGACUCCUACGGGAGGCAGCAGUGGGGAAUAUUGCGCAAUGGGGGCAACCCUGACGCAGCCAUGCCGCGUGAAUGAAGAAGGCCUUCGGGUUGUAAAGUUCUUUCGGUGACGAGGAAGGCGUGAUGUUUAAUAGGCAUCACGAUUGACGUUAAUCACAGAAGAAGCACCGGCUAACUCCGUGCCAGCAGCCGCGGUAAUACGGAGGGUGCGAGCGUUAAUCGGAAUACUGGGCGUAAAGGGCACGCAGGCGGACUUUUAGUGAGGUGUGAAAUCCC